CGGCAGCGCCAUGAUUGUCUUCCUCUUCGCCUCACGACUCUGGUAAAAGAAAGCCUCCUCCCUGGCUUCUUCAUGCGCAAGCUGGAAUAGCGCAGAGGCUCUCGAGAUCAUGGAAUGGAAUGACCCCACCUUAUCCGGUGUGGACACCCGAGGCAGCAGAGACCUGCUGCCCAAUGCGAGGAUAUCCUUGUCAUCCGUCGGCAUGGCCAUAACCGUUCCCGUACCAGAUUCUGGGUCUGCUGGGCAAUAGUGGGGGCCGACAGAUGUGGAGGCGGAAAUGAGGGCAGUGGAUGAUAAUGAUUAUGAUUCCACUUCGCUGGCGGCUGAUCGGAAGGCCCAUUGGAACCAGGCCCUGUGGCAGUCUCUUCUGGAUCUCCAACACCAAGGUGUGGAGGGUCGACAGGAUGUCCAGAGACGCAUCCCUCGGCAGAGCUGGCGUGAUCCGAAUACUAGGCCGUGUCGCCAUCCACUACCAUGUACUCGUGGACCAUGCAAGGAUUCCAGUCCUCGUCUGUGGAUGAGACCUCCAUGGCUUGGGCCACAGCCUGGAGGGCUGAUCAGGGGCCUCCUAACCCCCCCCCCCUCUGAGGGGCUGGCACCAGGAUCAAAGACGGUGUGCCCUUUUCCAGCGUGCCAGCAGACUUUGCCAAAGUCACUGUGGCGGUUUUGUGCCUCGGGGCAGGGAUACCUUCUGCGCUGCAGGUGCUACCUUCACAGGGUCAGCUCUAGUAGCAGUCGUGAGAGCAGUCGCCACCAACUAUUUCGUCAACGAAGUCUUAUCUUGGGCCGAUUGGGCUUUCUUGGCCAGUUCGGCCUUCUCCUCCCUCUGCGGUUUCUCCCGCGGAUUUUGCCGGGCUGGAAGAUUUCCUUUGAGGAGACGCUCGAUUGACGGCUGGCAAUGGAGGUGGAGGAUAAUGUCGAUCGCGCCCUGUGCACCUUGCGACCUGCUUCCGUGGCAAACCCGGUGGACUCGGACUUGCGGUUCUUGGCCUUGUCUUGGGCCCCCACAGAUGAGGCGCCCUCAAAGGACUUAGAAGACCGCUCCUCAGACCAGCCGGUCCUAGGUGAGGCAUGACCCAGCUCGUAGCACAGGGCAGAGGCCCUGUGAUUCAGCCACGCUGCCAGUCUACUGUGCCGGUCCAUCAUCUUCUUGGAGAACCUGAGGCAUAUCUCGCACUCCACCUCCUUAUACUCUGGGUGAAGGCAGUAGAGGCAUUGUAGGUGAUUGUCUUCGACAAAUACAUUCCGUAGCCUGCACUUGGUGCAGGGCUUGAAGAAGGACCUUCCCUCCUCCUCCUCCGUCAUGGUCGCAAGGUACAAAGUAUGCCCGAUGGCCAUCUGGAACCUUUGACAAUCUUUGCACCUUGAGGGGCACUGAAAUUCACCAACAACGGAUCUCGCUGUCGGCAAAUGGAAAACAGAGCACACUGGCUCUUCGGAAUAAAAAUAGAACCUUUUUCCAUCAAGAAAACUCAAGGACUCCCACUGAAGCGUGCGCUAUAAAUCUGAAGAGGGCAGCCAGAGGAGGGGCUUAGGGAGAGGAAUGUCAUUGGCUGGGGGCAGUAGAUAGAACAGUGGCUGGUUUAAAGAAGAAAUACAGUUUAAGUGAAACCGUUUUUAUUUUACUGAGGAUUCCCAGCCUGGCAGGGAAUAUUCAUGAGCAUGUCAAUACAUGCCAGACCCCAUGCUGGAUAAAUGUAUCAUAUCGCCAAUUGUCCAGCCCUAAUGCUAUUUCUGCCCAGUGGCCUGAAUGUCAAAGCAAACAAAUUCACUGAGGCAUGGGUAUGAUAUAUGAUAUUUUAUUUGUAUCGCGCUCGUACACAAGUGUUUCAGAGUGCGACUAGGCAAGGGAGAACACAGCACAACAUAAAAACGAUUUGACUAGGCCCAUUGACAUUGGGAACACGCAAGUGCAUGGGAAAGGAAAAAGUGCAUGGAAGGGGGAGAGUGGAAAGUGCAGAAGCCGAUGAGCGCAGAUAAAUAAAAUAAAUAGAAGAUUGAGGCAAACUGUGGUAGUGCAGCCAGCAAGUGGCAAGUGCUGUGCUUAAGGCAGCAGACUGGUAAGUCUGAAUAAGUGCAGAAAAGAAGAAAAAUGGGGGGUUGGGGGGGAUCUGUAUGGAUACAGAUACAGUCCCCAGUGCAAGGGGUGGCCAGGAGGCAGUGCAGGAAGGUGCAGGGUGAGCAGGUACCUGGGCCAGGGGACAGAGGGUGGCUAGGUGCACAGUGCCAAGAGAGCCGAUCAGCAGGGGAGAAGGGAGCGAAGAGGAAGGUUUUGAGGUACUUCCGGAACCGGAGAUGGUUCUCCUCAAGUUUUAGAGUGGCAGGGAGGCUGUUCCAGAGGGAGGCCCCAGCCGAAGAUAGAGAUCUACCCCCAACUCGUUUCUUUGAAAAACAACUGACCCUGAGGGAGUUAGAGGUAGAGGAGCGAAGAGCUCAAGAGGGGAGGUGUUUGCGGAGGAUAGCUGAAGGUAUUUUGGACCCAGGCCCCAGACAGCAGGAGUGACUAUGCCUCUUAAGGAAGCCAAAUGCCUUGCCAUCCAAUAAGUGACACGCAUGAAUAAUAUUCCCACUGUCCUGACAGAUCUAGCGAAAUCAGCGCCAAGGAAACUGGCUUCACUGAAUCCGCAAGGAACAAAAGACAUUGUUGCGUGGGGCUCUAGUCUGCCACAGUGAAUGAUGUAGGAUAAGUGGGUAGCCUUCGGGCUGCAGGUGAAAAACCACUCACUAUUUCCACUUUUCCAGUGAGGUGGUGGUGGCGAGAAUCAUGGGGCUUUCGAUACUGGCUGAGAGCGCCCGGUGGGUGCAGCCCAUUACCGGAACAGUGGCAGUUCAGGAGUUUGACUGGGGCGGUACACCAGUCAAAUUUUAACACAGGUGCGCUGAGGAGAGGUCAGUGAGGACAGAAAACUCCCACAGAGCAGAAGGGCAAACGCUCGCUUGAUGUCGAUUUUCAGUAUGAAUACAGACAGUGAAAGCAGGGCCUCACGAUCCUUCUGACUUUAUGGGUUUCAAGCAAGGGGUGUCAGAAAAGUCACCAGAGGAAUAAUCGGCUUGUGCGGCCAAGCAAUCAAAGCCAUUGCUUUUUGGUCCUUAGAGGUUCCACUUAUGAUUGUGAAUCAGAAUUCAUCAAGAGUUUUAUUGUUCAUCCACUAAUCGUGAACGCGAGCAGGUUUAGACAAUUGUUAAACAGGUUAGUUUUACCCUACUGGUGUGGUGUUUCAAUAGUAACAGUACGAAAGGAACCAGUGGUUGACGUUUUGUGGAUGUGCUUGGCUGAGAAGCCUAUGUUGCAAAGCUACGAUCGAUGACGGAACACCUCCAGGUCAAACUCCUCCCCCCCUCACCACUCCCCAAACCGUAACGAUACAGCAGUGCUGUGGAGCUUUGU
RNAcentral lists this ribosomal RNA (3388 nucleotides) under Ambystoma mexicanum (axolotl). RNAcentral describes it as "eukaryotic LSU rRNA". The stretch from base 2412 to 3388 matches the Rfam family "Eukaryotic large subunit ribosomal RNA", at positions 1891 to 3211 of the family's 3401-position model. The record is from RNAcentral. Lineage: Eukaryota; Metazoa; Chordata; Amphibia; Caudata; Ambystomatidae.